CUUUUUAGGGCCACACUGUGGCAUAUGGAGGUUCCCAGGCUAGGGGUCUAAUUGGAGCCAUAGCUGCCAGCCACAGCAACGCAGGAUCUGAGCCACAUCUGCGACGUACACCACAGCUCACAGCAAUGCCGCAUCCUUAACCCACUGAGCAAGGCCAGGGAUAAAACGUGCGUCCUUAUGGAUGCUAGUCAGAUUCGUUAAAUGCUGAACCAUGAUGGAAACUCCAGGGCUAGCCUUUAAAAGGACUUGCAGUCUCCACUUCCUGCCUCUUGAAAUUCAGCCACCACACUACACAGAAGCCUACGCAACCACAAUGAGAAUGCUUAGCAGAAUCACGGCUUCCUAGCUGUAAGCUACCAGCUGAUGGCCAGCAUCACUACUAUCUAAGUAGGUCAUCUGGAGUACUCUGGCCCAUUUGAGACCCAAAGUAGCUACAGCUCCAGAGGACUUCAUGUGAAGCAGAAGAACCAUUCAGCUGAACCGAGUCAAUCCAGAGAAUUAGAAGACAGUUUUUAAAGAAUGGUUGUUUCAAGACACCGCAUUAGGGGCAAGAGGAGAGUUAUGAAGCAAUAAGGAAUCAAAACAUUCACUUCUAUCUAUCUUGUCUUUUGCUCAAACUGACUCCUAUGGUUCCUUAUAAUGAUUUUUUCCUAAUAUGUCCGUCUGCUUCAGCUUAGCUACAAUAGGCAGCUUUUCCAUUCUCAAUUCUGAAUACUUGCAAUAAUUUAUCUAGUAACUAUCGCAUAAAUUUCAAAUGGUAAUCUAAGUCUUUUGUUUCCUAUACCCAUAAACUGUUAAGGAGAAAGAAAAGGAAAUGGAAGCAGGAAGUUUAUAGUCUCAUCAGAGGAUUUCAAUAAAGUUUAACAGAGGAGUCAAAUUUUGUAACCUAAACAAAAAAUUUCUUUCCACAUUCACCCUCAAAUAUAGUAACCAAAUGAGAUUAGAAACUUAUUAAGAGAAAGCUUAAAGCUGCAAAAGAAUUAUUCUAGUUCUGAAAUUCUGGCUGAAAGAGACAUUUGCAAAAUAAGGGAAAACUAAUAUUAAGUGGUUAUAUCUUUUAAUGAUGGCUAAAGACAGCUUUAGCUGAUAGACAUUCACAGAUACUUAACAGAAUUUAGGAGUCAAUUAUUUACAGCUAAGAAUCAAAAGCUAAGCAUUUAAAGUAUAAGUACAUGUCCAGUGAUUAAAAAUAAAAAAGGACCAAUCUUGCAAGGACCUUGCACCCCAAAAAUGACAGUGGGGAAUAAGCUCUUAGAUGAUGAGGAGCAUAUCUUUCACUGUCUAUCCUCAGGAUUCAACAAAGUGUUUGGUACACAAGAAAAUGUCCAGUAUGUGUUUAUGAAGGAACAAAUGAACAAAUGAAUGGAGAGCGAUGGUGAAGGAAGAACAAAGACCAAAAUAAAGAGGAAGGAGUGGUAAGCAAGAAUUCAAAUAAAAACCCUCCUGGAACAGGAAUCACUGAAUUUUUCACAGGUGUUUUCUCAACUAGAGAGUUCUGAUACCUAAGCAAUUGGGAUAUAAACCUUGGUUAGCCCAUGUAAAUAGCAGCUGCUAAACAGGACCUACAGCUUUGAGCUCCCCAAGGCAAGUCAGGCCUGGGCAGAGAAGAAACAAGACUUUCAGCACCUUAAAAGGACCUAAAAAAAGGAAGCUCUAACAUUCCUUUCUGGCCAGUCCCUCACAUCUUUAAGGAAAGGUAACCAGUAGUCAUGUCAUAAUAAGUGGUGUCAUAUGGAUUUAAGAGAAAGUCAGUUCCAUAUGUACAGAAGCCUCUCUAUCUGGAAUUUUUAAUAUAUCAAAACUCUUGAUGAUCAAACUUUCAAACAGUAAGAUUUCCAAGAAAGGGAAAAAUUUUCACUUAGGACAAUAGUCAUAUCCUAACAGUCAUGGAUGAUGUUUGCCGGCCAUUAAGACACCUAGUUAUGUUUUAUGAUUUUAACUUCUUUUCACUAUUUAAUUUUUUGUAAGUACAUUAUUUAAAUCUUUGUCCAUUUUUUUUUACUAUAAUCUUCAGAGGCAUUCUAUCAAGUACAUGUUUAUAUAUAAACAGCUCCCUAAAUAUCUGAUCACCUAAUUAUGCUAUAAUAUUUUCUGAAAUAAAAAUGAGUAUAAAUACAUCAGUAAAUAAAAAUUGAACAAUAAUACUUCAGCAGGUCAAACUCAGAAUCUUUUUCUUUUCUCACGUCAUUCAUACUAGGGUGCCAUAGACAUUUUAGGUUAUGUAUAUUUGCUAUGUUUUACGAAACAUAGUAUCAUGGAGUCAAAUUUUGGAGCUGUGAGAAAACUUUUUUUUACUUGCUAGUCUAAAUCUUCACAGAUGCAAAAGUCUGAGGUCUAUUGAGUUGAAGUGACUUAACCUUAUUAAAGUAAGUGGUUAUCAAAACACUACUGUUGAUGCCUAGAUUCAUCCAUUCAAUAAUCAUGCAUUGAGCAGGUAGAUGGGGACUAGACACUCUACUUGGCCUAGCAGAUACAAGGAUGAAGAAGCUGGGUCCUGCCCUUGAGGCACUCUUUUUAGGAACUAGCCUAAAUAAAACUGAAAGAUGAAACUCUGGGUUACAGAUUCUAAAAGAAAAGUUAAGUGGUAUCACCAACAAAAGAGCAAUUCAACUUGGUCUGGGAUAUGACAGGGGAGAUUACUAGGAGAAGGCUUCUCAGAAAAGAUUUCAGCCAUAUAUGAAAAGUGCAUACCUGUAGGACUAUCUCCAUCUCAGUGGAAUUUAAGUUAACUGACCAAAUUCAUUUCAUGGGCCAGACAAGAAGUUAAGAGUGUUUGUGUAGAGUUACUACUUAUAUAAGAAAGAUGCACAUGUGGGAAUGAAAAUUGAAUUACUCUGUUAUUACAUCCUCUUAUAAAUAUUAUCUACAUAUGCAUUCCAAUUAUUUCUUAUACUCACUGAACUGUAUUAUUUUCUUUUACAGAUAUAUACCUUUAAGUCCUUUUAAUAUCUUUAUGCUGGAGGUGGGGGGAAAAAAAAACAUUAGGUUCCUUACUGAAAUUCAGAUAUUGUAAUGCUGACCCAUAUUCCCAAGAGGCUGGCAAGUAAGUCACCAGCACCAGAGUGACUUGAAACGUCAGGGUUUGUACUCAAUCCAUUGAAUCAUCCUGUCUCUUGAAAGUGGGUCUCCUUUCGGAUACCCGAAUGGAUAAGAUUAGGUAAUAACACAAUAAGUAGCAAGCAGCAAGAGCCAAUUAGUACAUACCUCAUGAAAGUGUUUUGGAUGUGCUUCAUUUUGAAAGAGAAAUGAGAGGUUGCCAAAUUUCACAGAAGUCAUGUUUGUUCCUGUACUUGAGCUGAAUAAUACAAAGUUUUCUUGAUUAAAUUUUUAAAUAUUUUUCCAGCUGCAACUCUACCACGUCUCUGCCCACAUCAGUGCAUUGAAGGAUGGGUAUACAGUUGAAAGUCUGCUUUGGGCUUCAGGAGAAGAAAAUAAAUUUAAUGACAAGUAAAAGCAGGAAGUGCCAACCUAGUACAAUUUAACAUUUACAGGUUUCAAAGUCUGAUAAGAACCUCAAAUUCCCACACUCUGCUCAGAGAAAAAUACUAUCUAUUUGCUUAAUCUGGCUUUUAUGCUUUCUCUGUAAAACAUGGAGUAAACUGAUCUGGCAAUUUUAUGCUCGAUUUAGUCAGUGUAAAUAAAAAAAUGUAAACAAAUCAAGUUUCAAAACAGAAUAUGAUAUAACCAACUGAGGUGCCUACAUUGACCAAAUUAACUAGAUUAUUGCUAAGUCAUCUUCACUUGUUCUUUGUGGAUAUUCUCAUAAGCAUGGGAAUUUAUGGGAUGUACUUGCAGCCACAAGAGAUGACAAACAUUUAAUUUAAUUAUUCAAGUCUUCAAAAUUUGAAUGAAUAUCCCCCAAAAAGACAUCCCACCUAUAAACUAGUCUGAUACUCAUGUUAAAUUCUCUCCUACACAGCCUCCCAACAUGAGUGACAUGGCCCCCGAACCCUGCUGCUAUACAGCCAACACCAUCUGCCUCUGUCAUAGGGCUUUAGAAGAAUAGGCCUCAUCUAACACAAGCUACCUUCUCCAUAAAUAACUCAAACUCAUCUUCAUAAACUGUAAUGCUUCUCAAAAGAGCUCAGAACAAAAUCAACAGUAGCGAUGGAAUACGAUUUUCAAUUUACCAAAAAACAUCUUAAAGAAUAUAUGGUUAGGUGAACUGGGAUGCCCAGUGGGUGGCUGCUGUUGCUUCUUCAGGUCAAUCAGUUAUGCCUUACCUAGCUGAGAAUGAAUAAAGAGCAGUACUCUUCCCUAUUCUGCAAUAAUCAAGUCACUUUUUCUGGAGGAAAAUAGGAGUUUUCCACUGGUGGCCACACAGUCUUUUUUGUGGAGUGUCUACACUGCUUAUCAUUUGAGUGGAGAAUGAGUCUACCUGGAGAACACCAAGCAUUUCUAUGUAGCAAAGGAGGUUCAAAUGCUAGAUCUCCAACUUUUUCAAGAGAAGCCAGAAGUUCAAACUUUUAUUGUCAAUUCCUCGGAUUUGAUUUAACAUCAAGAGACCAAACAAAACAAGUCUAUAUACUUAGGUUGGCCCAUUGACCACUGGUUUAAGAUGUCUCAUAUACAUGGGGAUUUUCAUUCACUUUAUCAGUACACUGACCUAUUUUUAUUUAUUUAUGAUUAUCCCUAUAUUAGCUUAAUUCUACACAAUUUUCUUGGGUAAACUGGAUACAGUCUCAUGUUAACUAACAAGGAUCCAACCAUGAAUAGGCUAACAUUUCUGACAUCAAAGAGACACAGUCUAAUGGUACAGAAAAGUCAGGAGAUAAGUGGAUCGUGUUGUAAUAGGGAAGUGUAUUCUGCAUAAACAAGGGGUGGAUUUAGCAAGUCAGAGAUUGGAAAGACCAGCUAACAAAGGCCUUAUAUAUCAUGGUGAUGCGGACACAAGCAGCUACAAUUUACUGAACACAUAAAAUGUACCAAACCUUGUGCUUACCUUGUACUCACAAUUCUCAAUUUAAUUCUCACACCAAUCCUUAAGAGAGAAAAACUAUUAUCAUCUCUAUUUUAUAGAUGAGGAAACUGAAGCUUAGAAAGGUCGAGUAACAUGGCUACGUGUGGCAGUCAGAAUCUGGGCUCAUUAACAACUAUCUGACUCCAAAAUCUGUGUUUUCAGCCACUAUGAUAUUGCUAAAGAAUUUGGAUUUCAGCCUAUAAGUAAUGGAAAACAAAUGAGGAAUCCUAUUUCUGUUCAGUUCUUAUAACACUCUGUGAGCUAAAUAAUGGAAAGUAUGAUUACUGUUUUAAGUCUGAAUAAACCAAGAAAGGUUAAGCAAUUUAAAGCAAGGGAAAUAAUGGGCUCCUAAGUACCCAAAUGGCUCAAUUCCUAGCCCAGGAUUCAUGCUGGUUUUACAUGGUUGGCGAGUAUUACUUUCCAGAUACUUGGUAUGCUUUCAACAAUCAUACUUCUUCAAUUCAGAAAUUCCAAGAGGACAUUCCCAAUUAAAUCCUCUUCCCAGCAGAACCUUAGCUAUUUCUAGCCAAGUCAUUCCUAAUUUGUGAUGUCAAUCAGAGAAAUAUAAAAUAAGUACUGUGACAAAGAAAUACAGCAGUUACCAACUUCUCCCCACACCCCUACCUCAGCCCACCUGUGUGUACAGGUACUACAAAUCUCACUUGAAUGUCCAUAAUGAAGUAAUGGUACACUAAGAAUUUUCUUUUGUGUGUUAGUAACUCAUUAACAACAUUCUUUUCAUUGACUUAUAAUUCCCAUAAAGCAUUUAAGCAAUCAAUUUUCCAGGUGAUAGCCACAACAUUUUAAACAUAUCUGUGAAAGUCUGACCCUAUCAGGCUUUCCUACAACAAAAAUUUAAUACCACUCUAUCAUUCAGGUCAAAGCUAUAAUUAAAGGAAGAUUAAUUAUUUAUAACAGUGGUAUAACAUGGAUGGAUAAAGAAUUUGGCCAAAAUAUUUCUCUGCUCACAGAAGAAAACAGUUAUGUAAAUGAAACUGUAUUCUGGUCAUUUUCAUUCCCUAGAAAUGUCACACAGCUAGAAAACAUAAUCUUAAUGUUUUUCAGAGUGAAAAAGUACAGUAACUUUCUCCAUUUCAGCAACCACUUAUCAAGUACUUAUAAAUAUUACUUAUACAUGGCAAUCUUGGGAAACAAGUAUAAAAUGAUGUGUACAUGACAAAAGAUAGAAUAAAAUAUAAAGACAAAUUAUAGAAAGGGGAUAAUAGUUGCAAAAUCAAUGAGAAAUAGGAAUAGAAGGAACCUCCUCAAACUGAUAAAGAAUAUCUAUGAAAGACCUACAACUAAUUAUAUUUACUGGGAAGCAACUGGUUGUUUUCUCCCUUAGAUCU
This 6309-nucleotide long non-coding RNA is filed under the name Sus scrofa (pig). RNAcentral describes it as "lncRNA (ENSSSCG00045002106.1)". Lineage: Eukaryota; Metazoa; Chordata; Mammalia; Artiodactyla; Suidae. The record is from RNAcentral.